AAUUGUCUUGUUUCGGUUUGGUAUUUGUUAGCCAUGAAAUAAUGACAAUUUCUUGCACAAAAGGUGUUAUUUUUUCCCCACCUGAGUAUUUUUCUCUCCUUUCCUUUCUUGCCUCUCCUUCCCCCUUUCCCUCAUCUGCCAGUUUUUAUCUUCUUUGCUUUGGAGAGGAAUAUAAAAUUAUUGAAUCAAAUAGCUACCCAGAGGGAAGGGGCAAAUAUUCUUACCUGCAGUCAAGAAAAAUGAAAACCUUUAUCACAAGCAGUCUAUUUAAAGUAAACAGUUUUAAUCUGGGCAAGGCCUGUCGACAGGGAGCAGAAGUUACAGCCUGGCACAGAAGUUUAAUUCUUGUUUGGAAAUUUGGGGGGAGAGUGUUUUUCUAAAAUGCAGUCUGCUGGCUUAUUAUUUUUUUAAGGGCUGACAGUUAAUUAGCACCAAGGCUUAUUACAGAAGUCUCCUCUGAAGCAGACAGAUUCAAGUUCUACUGAAGUGAUUGUCAUCAAGGGGUUGUUUGCCGUGGUGCUCACAGAUGGCAGGAAAGACAGCCCAGGAACGCAAACAGCCUGAUAAUCAAGAUAGCCUUAAAAUAUGGAGCCAUACAGAGUGGAAAAUACACAUAACGCUGCCUGUAAAGCAAGUUUUGCCACCAUGGUGCCCUCUGAUUUCCUAACAUCUGUAUUUUAAAAAGGGAGGACUUCCUGUAUUUUAUGGAAGAAUGAUUUGCAGUUUCAUAAACACAAAUCAAGAGUGGCCUUUCCUCCCUUUCUUGAGUAGGAGUGUGUUGGCUGUGCAGAAGUCUCCAAAUAAAUGACCUUGGUUCGGUGUACUUCAGUUCAAGCUUCACUGAGAGGUAGGCCUUCCGGACCUGGGCCCUUCUCCCCUUUCCUGGGCUGUGUCCCUUUUUAGGCUUCACAGCAAGGCUGCAGCAGUACCUCAUUCUCUCUGCUCUGCAGUGAAGCUGACAGUAUAGAACUGUGCUACACCCAGCAGCAUCCGCUGUCUUACAACAAAACACAUCCUCGGGACACAACAAGGCACGGUAGAAAAACAGCAAGGAUUCAGAAUCAGCAGAUUAAUUUUCUCUAAGAAUCCUAGGGCAAAGUCUCUACAUUUUUUCUUUGUAUAAACAUAGUAAUUUAAAUUAUCGCAAACAUUUGUUUAUACAUACGUACACAUACAUUUGUUUAUAUACACACACAUACUCACAUAUAUAUAUAUAUACUAUAUCCACACACAUUUAUAUGUAGUGGCAGUUAAGACUCUCAAUUGGUCAAUGUCUAAAUUAAUUAAUUAUUGCUAAUUAUUAAUACUAAUGGUGAAGAAAUUUGGGAAAUAACUCUCUUUUUACGGUUCUAGAUCUCAGAUUCCUAAUAAAGAUAUUUGGGUUGCAUGGGGAACUGAUUCAUUGGUAGAUUGUUUAUGAAUUUUACAAGGGAAGUUACAAUUGUCAGAGGACUGAUUAUGAUUAUUUUAAUAAUAAUAGCUACUGCUUAAUGCUACCUAUUCUCGCUCAAGUUUUGUUAUUACGGAUCUUUAGAACAAAUCCAUAAAGUAUGAACAAUGUAUGCUUUACAUGGAAAGAAACUGAGACUGAUAAGAUCUGGACAACUUGCCCAUGUCACUUUCCCUGGUUACUCGGCUAUCAAAUGACAAAAUAAAUGUGGAUCUGUGUCUUCCUGCUUUCUUCACACAUCUCUUCUCCAUGUCUUGUUGAUCACUAAUAGUAAUCAAAAUUUACUCUGUGCUCUCUACUUGAGAUGUUUGAUUAUUGAGCCUGUGAUUUUCCUAAAUGCUUCUUCUGUUGAAUUGUUAACAGUGAUAUACUUAUGACAUUUAACCAGGUAUCUCAAUAAAACACAAGUUUUGGUUAAAAUAAGACUGACAAUUCUGACAAACCAGAUCAAAUACAAUAUUAAAACAGACUCAAAUGGACGCUUUCGGUAAGUUUUAUUUUUGCCCUACUCUGGAUGAUUAUUCCAUUUUCAGAACUGUGAGACCCUCCAAGUCCGUGCUCUCGUUCACAUCUGUCAUUUACCUUGUUUACCUGAAUGUUCUUGGACAUCCCUUACUUUCUUCUUCCUGUCUCCAAAACAAGAUACAAUGGGCUGGCAGAGCUUGUUUAUUUCUGCCUUGUCUGGCCUCAGACUUUCUUCAAGGUCUAAUACAAUGCUGGCAUUCACCUCCCAAGUCUGGGAUCCUGGGCCUCACUUGACUUGGUCCUAUCCUGUGUUAGCACUGCUCAGCAUGAAUUCCUACACACCAGUCUUCACAAACAGCUUCUUUCACUUGCAUGCUCCUUAUCUUCACUCAGAUCUGAAGGCUUUGAAGUGGAAGCUUUCUGUUUCUUUGUGUGUUUCUAUAGUACCCUUCCAUAUCUACUAACAUUACAUAAAGUCCUUUCAGGGCAUUUAGUGGAUUCUCCUAAACCAGAGAUCCCCUGUUCAAGAGGGAAGAAUGAACCAGGUUAUUGACAACUUAUCAAGUCUGUUUUCCACUCUUAGAAUGGGAACCCUAACACUCCGCUCUGUUACUAAUCCCCAUGUCAUUGCUGAAGAUGAUCACUAAACUUUUACAAAAUACUGUGUGUUUAACAUUUUCUGGAUUGGUCCAGAGUCUGGGACUCUCAUCUCUAAUUAUAACUUUAUAUCCAUGUGGAUAUUCUAUUACAUGACUCAGAUACUGAAAUAUGGAAUGUUCAGUCCACAGUAGAAAAUGACAGUUUCUAGGCAAGUUCUCAUACUCCACAGGUUAGUCCUUUACAGUUUUAAAAAAAUAGUUAAAAAUAUAUGCAUAUUAAGGUUUUUUGAUUGUUCAUUUGUUUGUUUUUAACAUGGUAUCUUAUUUCUUGCAUUCUAAAUUCACCUGGGACUGACCAACGGCUUUUCUCUUCAGACAGGGCACAUUUUCUCCAAUUUGGUCUGCUAUCCAAGUACUUGGUACUUCUCAGAGAGAUUUCCACCAACCGCACUUCAUACAUCAGUACCUGCCUUCAAUCGGGGAAUACCCAGCCAUCUACAGAAGAAUGACUGUAUCGAUGUUUUCAGAAGGCAGGAGGCAACGUCACUGCUGGAGGCGCUUGCAGGGGUAAGUUGCAUGGGGCUGAGUUCUAAGCUGACAUUUAGAGGCUUUGCACAUGGAGGCAGAUAUUCUACUCCUGAAGUCUCCAUACAAUACAUCUGGGUUAUGAUGGUAACAGGACAGAUCUUACAGGGCCAUUUGGUAGAGUAUGUGAGUCCAUUUUUUUUUUAUUUAAAGAACACAACAGAGUCCCUGGCAUAUUAUGUUACUCUAUAAAUGUCAGGUACUAUCAGCCAAGGUGGUAAAGAAUCCAGGAAUAUGCAUUUCAGUGCUAAAACAUGAAGUCUGAGCUUGACCCUGAAAUGAAAAUUAUCAGGUUAGUUUUUGUUAGUGGUUUUAAAAUAUGAUAAGGAAUUUUUCAUGGCUAUUCUAACAACUGCUACUAUUUGCUGUGGAGAACAGGUUGGAGGAUGGAAAGAAAGACAGCUGGGUGGUGACUAGUACAGUCAAAGUCUGAAGCACUGAUUGUUUUUAUGGAGAAAACUGUAAAAGGAAAAUCUCCUUGGGAAGUUGUUAUCAAUUUGCUACAAGAUAGUGAAUGGUAACCCCAAGGGUCAUAAGCGCCUUUGUUUGCCUGAUAGAAGUUAUAGACCAUCUCAAAGAUAUACAUGUUCAGUUGCAAAACUAAAGGCAUUUUUAGGGGAUCCUAGAAGCCUUGCUUUAGAAAGGCAGGGGAUACACACAUAAUGAAACCAACAGAAUGCAUAAAAAGUGAGUGGAUCAUUUUUCCAUAUACAAUAUUGCAAUUUUGUUUUAUUUAUACUUUGUAUAAUCUGCUAUUUUAGUUUGCCCUAUAGAGUACUGAAAUGUUUUUGUACCUCAACUAGUAGGAGUCAUAUGUCUUUUGAUCUACAUUUUUUUCCUCAAAAAAAAAAAAUCUUACUUCAUUUAACUAGUCUGGCCACGCUCCAUUCAUGGCUGGUAAGUGCAGGACAUCAUAUUCAGCUCCACACUGCCAGACCACCAUCUUCUAUCCUGUUUUGAAACUUGAUGUGUGGGCCUCCUGUAGUACAUUUAAAGAUCACUUAAUAAAAACUGCUUAAGAUUUUUUUUUUCCAGUUUGAAAAUUUAAAAUAAAUUGGCUUGGAAAUUUCCCCCUUCUCCAUUUCUUACAUCACUUAAAUCUAAAGACUGAGUAGAGGAGCAAAGGGUCUAUGUCAUCAAUAUCACCUUUACAAGUCAAUCACUUCAGUCCAACUAUUUCACAUCAUCAUAGAGCAAGCUGCUAAGUAAGAGUCCAGGUACCCCACAUUGACCUUUCCAUCCUUUACAUAAGAGGCAAUGAGAAAUUAGAGGCAGAAGGUCUGUGUUCUCUUUCUACCAGCCUUCGCAUUCCCAAUAGUUGCUCCAAAUAACUCCCUGUGGUUUGCCUAUCACACCCUGUAUGUUUAUGCAAGCUGCUUUAUACUUAAUUCUGUGGCAGACACCAAGCAUAUGUUGGUUGUAUAUUUGUUUAAAACUUUUUAUGUAUAACAGAGGAUAUGAAUCUAGGUUUUUGCUAGUAAUGAAACCAUUCUCUCUGCAUCUGAUUAGUCCUUAGGGGACCGCAAAUAACAUUUUGUGACUAUUUACCAAAUUUUCACUAUCAGUUCUGAAAAGCAACAGUAUAAUAGUGUCACUUGUUUUUGUGAUUCCUAAUGGUAUGGAUGUGCCUUUUAAGUUGUGGCAAUCCUCACUAUGAAUAUAAUUCUUCUGAAGAUAAAUGGACAUAAGCAUUAGAAAGUGGUAAUGCGGUAUCUUAGAGCCCCCCAAAUCCUAUUCUUAUCACAAGAAUAAUGCAAUUACUCUGAGUCUCAAUAUCGAUUUUACGUGCUGCUGUAGUAAUUUGUCUAUGAUUUGUAUAGACAGUAUUGACAGUUUCCAUAAUGUCUAUAGAGACUUUAAUUGGAAUAUUUUAAAAUGUUUUUCCUUUGUGGAUACAGUUUUGUUUCAGUAAUGAUUGAUACAUGAUAUGCUCGUCUAAGUUCAAAGAUAACGAACAAUUUGAGCAAAACACAGUUUAACUGAACAACACAGUUUAAGUUUGAAAACAACAAUUGAGAUUAAAACAGACCAAGGCUAAUGAAAGCAGCCAAGCUUUUUUGUGUCUCACUGGCCCAGGAAAAAAGUGAACACCAUGCACAGCCAGGAGGGACCAAUAGACUCUGGCUGACCUGGAAGUCUAAGGAUUGUGCUAUGGGGAUUCUAUACUCUCUCACUCAGCACCAUUGAUGUCAUUUAAUUUCGUGAAAUUAGGAUUAAAGCAUCUUCCUAGUUUUCAGGGUGAUUGCAAAGACCAAAUAAA
Peromyscus leucopus (white-footed mouse) is the source of this 5359-nucleotide long non-coding RNA. RefSeq lists it as uncharacterized. The transcript has 4 exons. NCBI's taxonomy places the organism in Eukaryota, Metazoa, Chordata, Mammalia, Rodentia, Cricetidae. The record is from RefSeq and is a predicted model, not a curated record.